Molecule: long non-coding RNA, 929 nt
Filed under: Mytilus galloprovincialis (Mediterranean mussel)
Lineage: Eukaryota; Metazoa; Mollusca; Bivalvia; Mytilida; Mytilidae
Source: RNAcentral
UUCCAGUAUAAUGCGUUCUAUAAGAUUCUCUUGACCGUUAAUAAGUUCCCCUGUUCGUUGUGCAUCAUGUAUCCAUAACAGGGCGUUUUAUAUGAUCCCCUGGGCGGUUUAUAGGAUCCCCUAUUGUUUAAUAUUUGUGUAUCUGCUAGAUGUAUCCACUUGAAGGUGUCCUAUUUAGGAUCCCCUAUUGUUGAAUAAUCGUGUAUCUGCUAUAGGGCGUUCUAUAGGAUCCCCGGGGCGGUCUAUAGGAUCCCCUGUUGGUUGUUCAUCAUGUAUCUAUAAUAGGGCGUUCUAUAGGAUUCCCUGGGUGGUCUAUAUGAUCCCGUAUUGUUUAAUAAUCGUGCAUCUGCUAUAGGGCGUUCUUUAAGAUCCCCGGGUCGGUCCAUAGAAUCUCUAGGUCGGUCUAUAGGAGCCCUGUUGUUUGUUCAUAAUGUAUCUAUUGGAGGGCAUUCUACAGGAUCCCCUGGGCGGUCUAUAGGAUUCCCUGUGGUUUAAUAAUUGUGUAUCUGCUAUAGGGUGUUCUAUAGGAUCCCGUUGUUUGGUAAUCACGUAUCUACUAGGGAGCGUUCUAUGGGAUCCCCUGUUGGGUCUAUAGGAUCACCUGUUGUGCAAUAUUCGUGUAUCUGCUAUAGGGCGUUCUAUAGGAUUCCCAGGGAGGUCUAUAGGAUCCCCUGUUCGUUGUUCAUGUAUCUAUAACAGGGUGUUCUAUACGAUACCCUGGGCGGUUUAUAGGAUCCCCGGGUCGGUCUUAGGAUCCCCUCUUGUUUAAUAAUCGUGCAUCUGCUAUAGGACGUUCUUUGUUAUCCCUUUCAAAGGGGGCAUAUUGUUAUUGUUCGUUUCUUUUUUUUUUUUUCAUUUCGUUUAUAAUAUAUCUUCUUAAGUGUAUAAUAUAUCUUAUUGAAUUAAUAAGAUAUCUUAUAAAGUAUAUA